Long non-coding RNA from Acromyrmex echinatior (Panamanian leafcutter ant), 2123 nucleotides. Lineage: Eukaryota; Metazoa; Arthropoda; Insecta; Hymenoptera; Formicidae. The record is from RefSeq and is a predicted model, not a curated record.
UUUGUAUACAUUUUUACUUGAUACGUACUUAUUUCCGCGAAAUGUCACUUUACGUGUUACUUCAAAGUUACGCGAUGCAAAUGGCCGCAUCUCUAGAUGUGCAGAACGGUACGAAAUUCGUCUCAAAAACGAGCACACUUUUAAUACUUCCAUCAUGAACGGCAUCCUAAGCGAGAGGCAGAUUUAAUUUAAUUUAAUUUAAUUUAGUUUAUUGCAAAGUUAUAUGAAAAAGACUACAUAUUAACAGAGUAAUAGACAGAAAGUAUGAUACAAUAGACUAUAGUUAACAUAAACAUAAAUACAAUAGACAAUAGUAGUUUGUGAAUGGUUAAACGUCAGCAAAAUUGCUGUUACAAAGUAACAAAACUAGAAUAAGACAACAAUGCAAUAAGAGGUAAACUAAUAAUUGAAAUCAUACACAUACACAUACACACGCGCGCGUGCGCGCAUGUACAUUCCAAUUACAUCAACACACCAAUUACAUCAGUCUUGUUUAAAUACUGUGAGUGAUGCGAUGAAACGCGAGUGGAAUGAAAAGAGGAUAGAGAGGGAGAGGUUUUUAUUGAAUCAGGAAAGGAAUUAAAAUAUUUAACAGAGGUGUAGGAGAAAGCGGCACGGAACUUAGUGGACCGAUAUAUGGAGAAGGAUAAGUAAUUUUGGUAUCUGGUGACAAGAGAGUUAAAAAAGAAAUGAUGUUCAGAGUUCAACUAAAGGAGACGUCACAGAUAUAAAGGAGUAUUGGAGCGAAGGAGAGAAAAUACAAGACAGCACAGAUAGAGAAUAAAACGUUGUCAAAUCUUAAGCCAGCCAGAUCUCUGGAAAUAUAUGGUCGUAUUUACGAACACAAGGCGAACAUAGGCGAAGCGAAGACAAGAAUUUUGAAUACGUUGUAUUCGAUUUAGCAGAUAUUGGUUAAGAGACGGAACAUAGACACAUCAACGAAUAAACAAAUAGAUAAAUAAAGUAAUUGAGUUUUUGAGAGCAGGAAAGGAUGGGACAAAGGGGAUAAAGAUAAAUGAGCAUAAGCAGCCCGACACUUGACGGCUACAUGUGACUCGAAUGACUAUGAAGAGUCAACAUGAACAUCAAGAAUCUUAAUAAGGGAGGAACGAGGAAUUGAAGUAGAAUUAAGAAAAAUGUCGAAGGACGGAAUAUGGGAUAACAAUGUUGAGGAACCGACAAUCAACAAGGAUGAUUUAGAAGGAUUUAGAUGCAGGGCAUAUAGUGGACUAUUCGGCAAUAGAUUUUAAGUCUGUAUUCAAAGCAGAACAGGUUGCUAAAGCAUCGAAUGGAUGAAAGGAUUUGAGAAGAAUUAUGUCAUUUGCAUACAUGAAGAGCUCAGAGCACAGAGAAACAUUAGACAAAUCAGAGACAAAAAUAUUAAAGAGUAAAAGUCCGAGAAUGGAAUCCUGGGGAAUACUAGAGAGAAUGGCACGAGUAGAGAAGAAAAGAGGAAAAGGAUAAUAUACGAGAACUUGUUGCGUGCGGUUUGUAAGGAACGAGCAGAUUAACGAGAGAGCAGGAUGAGAAAGAUUGCAUAACUUGAGUUUGACUAAAAGUAGGUCAUGAUUGACGGUAUCGAAAGCCUUUGUGAAAUCCAGCGCAACGAUGGAAGUAAGGCAACAAUUGUCGAAAUUACGAAGCACAAUGUCAAAGAUAUGAAGCAAUUCCUUCGUCGUGCUGUAAGAUCGACGAAAACCAGACUGACAGGAGAGAAGGAUAUUAAAUUGGAGACAAAGGCAUUUUAAGUUGUGAGAAGCAGAUCACACUCAAGCAGCUCUGAGAGGAAAGGGGGAGCAAGAUAGGACGAAAAGAUGAAGAGAAGAAGGGUUAUUAGUUUUAGGAAUGGGAGGAAUAAUUGAGUGUUUCCAGGAGAAGGGAAAGGUACUGUGAGAAAAGAGAAAUUUAACACAUAGAGAAGGGGAUCAAGAGACAUUGAGGAAGGCACAGUAGGAGCGAUCGAAGAGAUCGAGAAGCCCAGAAAGAAGUGGAAGUCAAGCGAAUGCGCUUAAAAAUAUUGUAGAGAUCAUGGGAGAUCAAUCACUGGGAGUGAUUGGAGCAAAAUUGAAGGUCGAGGAAACGUGAAGAGAGGAGGAAAGAAGAUCCUGCCUUUAUUAAAUCAG